CAGUUUGUUCUUAUCGCCAAUCAAUGGAGCGGUACAUUGUUGGUUACGAAUUAAUGUCGCUUUGCAGCAAGUGACGGUGAUCGGACUCGGCAAGUAAACGGUCACUGAGUCGCCCGAUAGCUUUUUGACUCGCCCCGUCGCGGACGCCAACCUCGGGAGCGGUAGGGUCACUCGCCCUGGUCGCGCUCGGGAGGGUUCUGUGAUCCGGCGAGCGGUGGCGGAAGGAAUAGCGGGCGGCGGCAGCGACAAGAUCAACUACGUGUUCAAGGUGGGUUGAUCGGGGACUCUGCGGUGGGGAAGUCGCAAAUCCUGGCGCAAUUCGCGCGCAACGAGUUCAGCCUCGACUCCAAGUCCACCAUCGGAGUGGAGGUCCAGACGCGGACGCUCAUCACCCAGCACAAGAGCGUCAAGGCCCAGAUCUGGGACCGCUGGCCAAGAGAGGCAUGGAAUUGAUGAGUUAUUUAACGAGUAAACAAACAGAGGUAUAGAGCUGUCACCAGUGCCUACUACCGUGGGGAGGUUGUGGCCUUGUUGGUGUACGACAUCACCAAGCGCCAAAGCUUCGACCAUAUUCCUCGAUGGCUCGAGGAGCUCAGAAGCCACGCUGACAGGAGCAUUGUGAUCAUGUUGGUAGGCAACAAGACAGACCUCGAGGACCAAAGAGGCAUAACCACAGAAGACGCCGCGAGUUCGCUCAGAAGGAGAACCUCUUCUUUCUAGAAACGUCCGUGCUGGAAGCCACAAACGUCACGAAUGCUUUUCAGACCAUGCUGACGGAAAUCUUCAACGAUGUCCCUUUUUCACUUUAUUUUUUAGUGAAUCUUUGAACUUAAAAAAUUCAAGUCUCCUUUAUCAGACAA
Molecule: long non-coding RNA, 860 nt
Organism: Zingiber officinale
Lineage: Eukaryota; Viridiplantae; Streptophyta; Magnoliopsida; Zingiberales; Zingiberaceae
Exons: 2
Source: RefSeq, a predicted model, not a curated record